GAUGAACGCUGCCGGAAUGCUUAACACAUGCAAGUCCACUGUUGCGGACGGGUGAGUAACGCGUACAGACCUUGCCUCCCAGCUAGGGACAACCUUUGGAAACGAAUGCUAAUACCUGAUACUGUGAGAGAGCUUUGCGUCCCAUUAGCUAGUUGGAGAGGUAACGGCUCACCAAGGCGAUGAUGGGUAGCCGGCCUGCGAGGGUGAUCGGCCACAAGGGGACUGAGACACGGCCCUUACUCCUACUGGAGGCAGCAGUGGGGAAUGUUGGAAAAUGGACCAAAGUCUGAUCAAGCAAUUCUGUGUGCACGAUGAAGUUUUCGGAAUGUAAAGUGCUUUCAGUUGGGAAGCGGUACCAACAGAAGAAGUGACGGCUAAAUACGUGCCAGCAGCCGCGGUAAUAC
RNAcentral lists this ribosomal RNA (404 nucleotides) under uncultured bacterium. Its description in RNAcentral is "partial 16S ribosomal RNA". It matches the Rfam family "Bacterial small subunit ribosomal RNA", at positions 28 to 526 of the family's 1533-position model. The record is from RNAcentral.